GACGAACGCUGGCGGCGUGCCUAAUACAUGCAAGUAGAACGCUGAAGAGAGGAGCUUGCUCUUCUUGGAUGAGUUGCGAACGGGUGAGUAACGCGUAGGUAACCUGCCUUGUAGCGGGGGAUAACUAUUGGAAACGAUAGCUAAUACCGCAUAACAAUGGAUGACACAUGUCAUUUAUUUGAAAGGGGCAAUUGCUCCACUACAAGAUGGACCUGCGUUGUAUUAGCUAGUAGGUGAGGUAAUGGCUCACCUAGGCGACGAUACAUAGCCGACCUGAGAGGGUGAUCGGCCACCCUGGGACUGAGACACGGCCCAGACUCCUACGGGAGGCAGUAGUAGGGAAUCUUCGGCAAUGGGGGCAACCCUGACCGAGCAACGCCGCGUGAGUGAAGAAGGUUGUCGGAUCGUAAAGCUCUGUUGUAAGUCAAGAACGGGUGUGAGAGUGGAAAGUUCACACUGUGACGGUAGCUUACCAGAAAGGGACGGCUAACUACGUG
Molecule: ribosomal RNA, 497 nt
Filed under: uncultured bacterium
Lineage: Bacteria
Description: partial 16S ribosomal RNA
Rfam family: Bacterial small subunit ribosomal RNA
Source: RNAcentral